AACGAACGCUGGCGGCAGGCCUAACACAUGCAAGUCGAACGCUCGUAGCAAUACGGGAGUGGCAGACGGGUGAGUAACACGUGGGAACCUUCCCUAUGGUUCGGAAUAGCUCAGGGAAACUUGGGGUAAUACCGGAUAAGCCCUUCGUGGGAAAGAUUUAUCGCCAUUGGAUGGGCCCGCGUCGGAUUAGCUAGUUGGUGAGGUAACGGCUCACCAAGGCAACGAUCCGUAGCUGGUCUGAGAGGAUGAUCAGCCACACUGGGACUGAGACACGGCCCAGACUCCUACGGGAGGCAGCAGUGGGGAAUAUUGGACAAUGGGCGCAAGCCUGAUCCAGCCAUGCGCGUGAGUGACGAAGGUCUUCGGAUUGU
Molecule: ribosomal RNA, 371 nt
Filed under: uncultured bacterium
Lineage: Bacteria
Description: bacterial SSU rRNA
Rfam family: Bacterial small subunit ribosomal RNA
Source: RNAcentral